This 252-nucleotide ribosomal RNA is filed under the name uncultured bacterium. RNAcentral describes it as "partial 16S ribosomal RNA". It matches the Rfam family "Bacterial small subunit ribosomal RNA", at positions 524 to 776 of the family's 1533-position model. The record is from RNAcentral.
UACGUAGGUCCCGAGCGUUGUCCGGAUUUAUUGGGCGUAAAGCGAGCGCAGGUGGUUUAUUAAGUCUGGUGUAAAAGGCAGUGGCUCAACCAUUGUAUGCAUUGGAAACUGGUAGACUUGAGUGCAGAAGAGGAGAGUGGAAUUCCAUGUGUAGCGGUGAAAUGCGUAGAUAUAUGGAGGAACACCGGUGGCGAAAGCGGCUCUCUGGCCUGUAACUGACACUGAGGCUCGAAAGCGUGGGGUGCAAACAGG